Sorghum bicolor (sorghum) is the source of this 107-nucleotide small nucleolar RNA. It matches the Rfam family "Plant small nucleolar RNA R71". Rfam says of the family: R71 is a member of the C/D box family of snoRNAs containing the C (UGAUGA) and D (CUGA) box motifs. Multiple nearly identical copies of this snoRNA have been identified in Arabidopsis, and it is thought to function as a 2'-O-ribose methylation guide for 18S ribosomal RNA. NCBI's taxonomy places the organism in Eukaryota, Viridiplantae, Streptophyta, Magnoliopsida, Poales, Poaceae. The record is from Rfam.
AUUCCAUGAUGGGGACAUUCUAGGAUGUAGUCUUGAAAGCGCUCCCAUGCUUCUGGAACGGAUUCAUCAUGUUGCUGCUGAAAACAUGUAAUCUUCCCACGGAGAGC